RNAcentral lists this ribosomal RNA (378 nucleotides) under Funneliformis mosseae. RNAcentral describes it as "eukaryotic LSU rRNA". It matches the Rfam family "Eukaryotic large subunit ribosomal RNA", at positions 58 to 428 of the family's 3401-position model. Lineage: Eukaryota; Fungi; Glomeromycota; Glomeromycetes; Glomerales; Glomeraceae. The record is from RNAcentral.
AAAGAAAAUAACAAUGAUUCCCUCAGUAACGGCGAGCGAAGAGGGAUAAGCUCAAAUUUUAAAUCUGUUGGGUUCCACUUAACAGAGUUGUAUUUUGAAGAAACGUUUUCUGCAUCCAGGAUUAGCCUAAAUCCUUUGGGAUAAGGUAUCAUGGAGGGUGAGAAUCCCGUUCAUGGUUAAUCUUAAGGAAGCUCUACGAUACGUUUUCCAAGAGUCGAGUUGUUUGGGAUUGCAGCUCAAAAUGGGAGGUAAAUUUCUCCUAAGGCUAAAUAUUGGCGAGAGACCGAUAGCGAACAAGUACCGUGAGGGAAAGAUGAAAAGAACUUUGAAAAGAGAGUUAAACAGUACGUGGAAUUGUUGAAAGGGAAACGAUUGAAG